GAUGAACGCUGGCGGCGUGCCUAAUACAUGCAAGUCGAGCGAACAGACGAGGAGCUUGCUCCUCUGACGUUACCCGCGGACGGGAGAGGAACACGUGGAUACCCUAUCUAUAAGACUGGGAUAACUUCGGGAAACCGGAGCUAAUACAGGUUAAUAUAUUGAACCGCAUGGUUCAAUAGUGAAAGACGGUUUUGCUGUCACUUAUAGAUGGAUCCGCGCCGCAUUAGCUAGUUGGUAAGGUAACGGCUUACCAAGGCAACGAUGCGUAGCCGACCUGGGAGGGUGAUCGGCCACCCUGGACCGGAGACACGGUCCAGACUCCUACGGUAGGCAGCAGAAGGGAAUCGUCCGCAAUGGGCGAAAUCCUGACGGAGCAACGCCGCGUGAGUGAUAAAGGUCUUCGGAUCGUAAUACUCUGUUAUUAGGGAAGAACAAAUGUGUAAGUAACUAUGCACGAGUUGACGGUACCUAAUCAGAAAGCCACGGCUAACUACGUG
RNAcentral lists this ribosomal RNA (497 nucleotides) under uncultured bacterium. RNAcentral's name for it is "partial 16S ribosomal RNA". It matches the Rfam family "Bacterial small subunit ribosomal RNA", at positions 28 to 507 of the family's 1533-position model. The record is from RNAcentral.